GUUGGUUCUACCCGAAGAUGGUGCGCUAACCGCAAGGAGGCAGUCAGCCACGGUAGGGUCAGCGACUGGGGUGAAGUCGUAACAAGGUAGCCGUAGGUGAACCUGCAGAAGGAUCA
This 116-nucleotide ribosomal RNA is filed under the name uncultured eukaryote. RNAcentral describes it as "partial small subunit ribosomal RNA". It matches the Rfam family "Bacterial small subunit ribosomal RNA", at positions 1410 to 1525 of the family's 1533-position model. The record is from RNAcentral.